CGGGUGAGUAAUGUCUGGGAAACUGCCUGAUGGAGGGGGAUAACUACUGGAAACGGUAGCUAAUACCGCAUAACGUCGCAAGACCAAAGAGGGGACCUUAGGGCCUCUUGCCAUCGGAUGUGCCCAGAUGGGAUUAGCUAGUAGGUGGGGUAAUGGCUCACCUAGGCGACGAUCCCUAGCUGGUCUGAGAGGAUGACCAGCCACACUGGAACUGAGACACGGUCCAG
This 227-nucleotide ribosomal RNA is filed under the name uncultured bacterium. Its description in RNAcentral is "partial 16S ribosomal RNA". It matches the Rfam family "Bacterial small subunit ribosomal RNA", at positions 103 to 334 of the family's 1533-position model. The record is from RNAcentral.